Molecule: non-coding RNA, 74 nt
Organism: Potamilus streckersoni
Lineage: Eukaryota; Metazoa; Mollusca; Bivalvia; Unionida; Unionidae
Source: the annotation of a GenBank genome assembly
GACUGCCCCAGUGGCCUAGUGGUUAGAGCAUCUGCCCUGGAUGCAGGAGGUCAUGGGUUUGAACCAUGGAGUCA